AAUAUUAGGUUGGUGCAAAAGUAAUUGUGGUUUUUGACAUUAAAAGUAUUGGCAAAAACCACAGUAACUUUUGCACAAACCUAAUA
Molecule: microRNA precursor, 86 nt
Organism: Chlorocebus sabaeus (green monkey)
Lineage: Eukaryota; Metazoa; Chordata; Mammalia; Primates; Cercopithecidae
Source: Ensembl